CAUGGACCAGAAACGGGAAAGAAGUUCCGCCAGUAAGCACAGUACGGAUUAUCGGGGAACUUGUGAGAAAGGACCGUGAAGAAAGGCCCUUCUCUCAUCAAAAGUUCACGACAGCCAAGAUGUCUGCGAACUGCACAGUGAAUUUCAUUUCAUUUGUUUUCCAUUCUUACAAGCUGCAUGGGAGCGAGGGCUGCACGGGAGCGAGAGUACCGCCCACACAUUCCAGAGGGAAACAAUAACCUUUAUGGGUUACAUCUGCU
RNAcentral lists this long non-coding RNA (260 nucleotides) under Fukomys damarensis (Damara mole-rat). Its description in RNAcentral is "lncRNA (ENSFDAG00000030975.1)". The record is from RNAcentral. Lineage: Eukaryota; Metazoa; Chordata; Mammalia; Rodentia; Bathyergidae.